UUUUCUCUCCUGGAGCUUGUCCUGUCCAUGCAGUGCUACGUGACCAAAACACAAGUUAAAGGACAUCACAUUGUGCUAUCCAAGCAGGUUGGUCUUGUCUGUCCCUUUUUGCUCUAAAAACUUUCUGAAUUAGAGCUUUUAUCACAGACAAGAAAUCUUCAAUGUCAGUCACAUGACCAUGGGAUUUACAUGUGGCACAAGUAGCUAGGGGCUUAUCUCAAGAGAGGAGGAGGCUCACAGGAGACUUGCAACCUUGAUUCUCCAUCUGUUUGAAGCCAACACACUUUGUGUUUCUAGGUGCAAAAUGAUUCUUCAAUUGCAUAUGCUGAGAAGAUUCUGGAGCGCCUCUCCCAAGACAGCACAAGUGGUGAUAACAUCAUUUCAGAGAGAAGAAAAAAGUACCAACCACCUAAAACGAGUCCAGCUACUCCUUGAACAAUCCCUGCAACCUCCAGGGAGAGAAAAUGUGGAGAGAUGUCUGGAAAAAGAAGACGGAAAGCAGACCUUGGGCUCAGGUAACAUACGCUCUCCACACUGGGAACUCUCAAGGGACCCAAGUGGGUCAUCUCUGUGUGGAUCUGUGUCUGUUGUGCGGGGGAAGCAACCCUGGGGUCCCAGUAGCUCUCUUCAACUCAGUGUGCCCACAAGGUUUAGUUACUCAGCCAGGAUGCUUGUCUUGUCUCCCCCGUCCUAAGGGAGAGAGCGUGCACUGAGCCAGUGGGCCUCCUGUGGAAGGGACACAUGAGGCUGAACUGAAAGUCACAUGUGCUCGGAGAAGAGGAACAUCAAGGUGGCGUGACUGAACUGUGAGUAGCUGAAAGAAAAGCAGCGCUGUUUCAUAGGAAACUCAGCAUCGCUGGAGCUUAGUUUGAGGUUAGACCCUUUCAGCUAGGAAAAGCAACACUAAAGGCAACAUGGUCUUUCCCUUUCAAACACUGUGGCUUAUUUGUUUAGUCGGUUAAAUAAGCCACAACCCCCCUCAUAAUAGAGAUUAGCAAGAGAUGAAGAAAAUUAUAGGCAGGUGGCCCUAGCCCAACAGUCUGAUAACUGGGUCACAGUCUGAUAACUGGGUCAGUAGGGAGGCCCAGGAUGAACUAAUCUGUGCUAAACCCCAGGUAACGCCCACAUGAUGCCUCUCAUCAGCGAGGUAGAUGGUCAUCCUCCUGCUAGAGGUAUCAGGGUGCCGACCCACAGCACAAAGGGAUGGGAGAAGGACCUGCCUGGCUAAAAGGCAUAAGCUAUUCCACACGGCUGUAUCACACAGACAGCAGCUAGCCAGAAUUCACAGGUUACUCGAGAAAAUUUAGCCCCACAGAGAGGGACUCUUACCCUGAGGCCUGCACACCACAAGCCUCCCUUGCUUCAAGACCCAGCAUUAAGUGAGGCUGUCACUGUAACCUACUUCCACAAGUGGAGUCUGCCUCUGUCCUGCCUUCCUGUCCCCACAGGAACCUGAGAUGGGGGGAGGGAUGACCAGCCCAGAGUGAGUAUCAGGAGAUGGGAAACUGCAGAAGGAGGGAGGAGAAGAUGGAGGGACAAGAGAGGGUGCAAAGGAAAAGUUUUAAACGCUUAAAAUUAUAUCAAGGGAAAAAAAAAUUAUAUCAAGGAGAUAAGAGGUGGGAGGCAAAGGUUAAAUCAAGAAGAGGGAUGGGAUCAGGAAGAGGAGCUCCUAAGAUGACUAGAAGGUGGGAAGGUGGCGGGACUGCCUGGCAUUACUUCCCGUGCAAGUCACUGAGCUCCACAUCAUCCUUUCGGCGCUUAUGGGUGAAGAGGGAGGUGACCGGGUAGAGCUUGGCCUUGGCCUGGAACCGGUGUCCUGCGAUGUCAAUCUCAUAUUCUCCCCGGUUGAUGAAAUCUGCUGUCACCACCUGCUCUUCUCCGGUGUCCUCGGAAAAAUUGUGCACGAAGCCCAGGCACACGUGGCGCUCCAGGGUGUAACCAUAUGCGCUGCUGGUGGUCUUGCCCACGUACUGCCCGUUUCGGUAAAUGGGCUCCCCCCACCAAGGCCAGAGGUCCAGGUCUGUGUCGUGGUCGUCCAGGAUGAACAUAGUGAAGCGUUUGUACACCCCGUUCUGCUUCUGCUGCAGCAGGGCAUCUCGCCCAAUGAAAUCCAUCCCCUAGGAAAGAGCACAGAGACAGCAUCACUGCUUGGGACCCGGUGUCACUGCAGUGGGCUGCCCACUCCCUACCACACCCCUGCAAGCUCUGGAGAACGUGUGCUUCCCCCAUGCGGAAAACUGCAUUCACAGUAUGAAAGACACCUGCAGAGAAUUCUUGUAACAACACAGGUUUUUCAUCUGUAAAAGAAUGAUCUGGACUUCCCUGGUGGUGCAGUGGUUAAGAAUCCGCCUGCCAAUGCAGGGGACAUGGGUUCAAGCCCUGGUCUGGGAAGAUCCCACAUGCCACGGAGCAACUAAGCCCGUGUGCCACAACUACCGAGCCUGGGCUCUAGAGCCUGCGAGCCACAACUACUGAGCCCCCAUGCCACAACUACUGAAGCCCGCGCACCUAGAGCCCGUGCUCUGCAACAAGAGAAGCCACCAUAAUGAGAAGCCCGUGCACUGCGACGAAGAGUAGCCCCUGCUUGCUGCAACUAGAGAAAGCCCACGCGCAGCAACGAAGACCCAAU
Long non-coding RNA from Lagenorhynchus albirostris (white-beaked dolphin), 2629 nucleotides. RefSeq lists it as uncharacterized. NCBI's taxonomy places the organism in Eukaryota, Metazoa, Chordata, Mammalia, Artiodactyla, Delphinidae. The record is from RefSeq and is a predicted model, not a curated record. The transcript has 3 exons.